RNAcentral lists this long non-coding RNA (326 nucleotides) under Meleagris gallopavo (turkey). RNAcentral describes it as "lncRNA (ENSMGAG00000017977.1)". The record is from RNAcentral. Lineage: Eukaryota; Metazoa; Chordata; Aves; Galliformes; Phasianidae.
UUGCUUCUCCUAACUCCUUACUGCAUCUCACCCCUAGGGAGGAAAUUCUGAAGUGCUUCAUGUCAAUACUCAGUUUUCCAGUGUCCACUGCAAAGACAAGGUCCUCCCUGGAGAGUGUCGAACCUCUCUGCACUCACACAACAUCCAUGGGAACUGGCGAGCACCAACAAAGAUUGUGCAGAGAUUUUCAGCUGAAUCAUAUUCACUUUGGUUGUGCAUCUGAAGGUACAACUGAAUUCCUGAGCAGAGGUGCAAAUUGAAGCUCCAACCCAGCAUUACAUUGAGACAAAACUCUUCUUUCUACAUGCCUUCCUUUGUGAAUAAAG